UAGAAAUUAACUUAAAAAUUAGUUAUUUAAAGAUGACAAUAGAAGAUUUUGAACUUUGAUUCCCAAAAGGCAAGCAAAUAUUUCUGAAAUAAAAUAUUUUAUAUAUUUAAUUUCUAAUUUAAUUUACAUAUAAAAUAUUUUAAAAAUUCAUAUGAAUUUGAGAUAUUUUCACAUUAAUUGGACUGUUUUUGUACCUCAUUUUGCUUGGUCACACUAAAGUGAGGUUCAUCAUCUUGUGGAACCAAAGGAAAACUAGUGUGAUUAUAAGGAAAUUAUUAUAGUUAGACAACUGUGCAUUAAUUUCAUCAUUAAGGACCAAAUGUAUACAGAUAUAAAUACUUUUCUUAAUACAUUACUUGCAACAUAUGCACAAUUAUGUAACAAUUAUGGUGAACUAAGUCUCCUAGAAAUUUCCAAAAUAAUUUUUUUGCCUUUUUUUAACCUCUAAAUCCAUAUAAAUCAAGGGAAAAUAUUCUUGCACAUAUGUAUAUUUAAACAUGAACCUAGCCAAAAGUAAGAGAAAUUUAAAAAAGUGUAACAUAUCAAAAUGUGGAAAUUUCUGUGUUUAGGGAAAAAUCUAUCCCAUUAAGAGCUUGCAUUAGAAAAGAAAAAUUACCUUGAAAUUAUGAUGAAAGCUUCCAGCUUGUUAUUAUAAAAAUGAGAACAAAUUAAUUCUGAAGCAAUCAGAAGGAAGAAAAUAAUAAAGGUUAAUGAAGAAAUAAACAACAUUAAAUGGAGAAAAAUUAUAUAGCUAAGUAAAUUAAACUAAACUUAGAUCUUUGAAGGGAUCAAUAAAAUUGUUAAAUCUCUGGCCAGACUAAGGAGAAAAUAAUAGGAAAUAAAUAAUUUACAAAUUUUAAGAAUGAUAGAAGUGGCUGGGGGUGGUGGCUCAUGCCUGUAAUCCCAGCACUUUGGGAGGCCAAGGCAGGCAGAUCGUUUGAGGUCAGGAGUUCCAGACCAGCCUGGCCAACAUAGUGAAUCUCUGUCUCUACUAAAAAUACAAAAAUUAGCCGAACGUGAUGGCUCAUGCCUAUAUUCCCAGCUACUCGAGAGGCUGAGGCACAAGAAUUGCUUGAAGCUGGGAGGUGGAAUUUGCAGUGAGUGGAGAUCAGGCCACUGCACUCAAGCCCGGGCGACAGAACGGGACUCUGUCUCAAAACAAAUAAACAAAAAAAAAAGAAUGAUAGAAGUAACAUUUCCAUUGUCCUACAACAGUUUAAGGAUAACUAAAUGAAUACCAUGAUGAAAUUUAUAAAUGUAAAUUAGUUAAUUUAGAUUAAAUGUACAAAUCCCUCAAAAGAGACUAACUACUAAGGCAAACUCAAAAAGAAAGCAAUAACAUGAACAUCCCUAUAUAUAUGUUUUAAAUUUAUUAAUACCCACCUAGAUAAACUAACUGACAAAUUUUACUAAUAUUUAAGGAGAUAUAAUUUAUACUUUACACAAAACUUUAAGAAAUAAAAAAGAGGAAACACUUUUCAACAUGUUUUAUUAGUCUACCAUUAUCCCCAUACCAAAACCUUAAAAAAGACAUUACAAGAAAAUGUCCUGUAGACAAAUAUGUAUUUAGAUGAGGAAUUUAGAUUUCAAAAACUUCAGCAAACUAUUAUCCAAUUAAAUCCUCUCAUGUCUGUGUGUGUAUGUGUGUGCAUGCAUGUGUGUUUGUAAAAUAUAUCAUUACUAAUUGGCGUUUAUCUUGGGAGUUCAAGAUGGUUUCCAUAUUCAAUCAACCCAUCAAUGUGGACUAUGGUCAUUUGAAAAGACCAGCAAAUCCUCUACACAAAAGGCCACUAUAAAUUCAUUAAAACAGCCUUCCAUCACUCUCGAAAUUGACCAAAGCAUUCAACUACCUGAAAAAUAUUUAUGUUUGGAAAGCUAUUGAAAUGCAGUUAAAAAUAUCAGGAAACCUGUUUUUACGUUUUGUCCUGAUCUUGCUAAAUCCUUCUUAAUUUUGUGAGACACUGCUUCUCCUUCCACUGUUCCUUUACUUUCUCCUUCCCCUUUGUUUUUGCCUCCCCCUUCCUCUCCCUUUUCUACAUUCCUUCUCUCUCCUAAAUGCUGUAUAAAUUUCUACAUAUAUAAUCAUAUUAUUUACAAAUAGGAACAGUUUUACUUAUUUCUUUCCAAUCUGCAUUUAUUUUAUUCUCCCUUUUUUUCCUUACACACUGGAUAGAACUCUAAGUAUUAUGUUGAAAAAGAGUGAUAAAAGCAAACAUUUUUGCUUUAUUCCUGAGCAUACAUGUGGAAAACAUUCAGUGUUUCACAGCUAAAUAUGAUGGAUUUUUUUGUAUGCUCUUUAUCAAGAUGAAGGAAUUUUCUGCUAUUUCUGGUUUGCUGAAUUUUUAUCACAAGUAACUGUUGAAUAUUGUCUUUUUCCCCUGCAUUUAUUGAAAUGAUCAUGUGUUUUCCUAUUUUAGAAUAUUAAUAUGGUGAACUAUAUUAUUAGAUUUUUUUAAAUAUUGAAACUGUCUUGCAUUUCUGGAAUAAACACGGCUUGGUCAUGUGUGUCACUUUUUUACAUAGUGUCGUAUUCAAGUUAUUGAGGAUUUUGCAUCUAGGGUAUACUUGUAGAUUUGCAGAUUUGCAUCUAGGUUAUGUUGGUCUAAAGUUUUGUUUGUUUUUUUUCCUUUUCUUUUUUUAUCAUCUUUGUCUUAUUCUGUUUAAGUGUCAUGCUUGCUUCAUAAAAUGAAUUGAGAAACAUUUCUUCCUCUUCUGUUUCUCGAAAAUUGUAGAGAACUCUUGUUUUUUGUUGUUGUUUGUUUGUUGUUUUGUUUUUUUCUUAUUUUUAUCCUCAUACUGAGAACCAAAUAGUCUGGAGUGUAAAAUAUGGUUCCUCAUUCCAGUUAAGUCUAGUACACAAUGACAACAACCAUCUUGGGUUAAGCAUUGGCCUACAAACAGAAAAAAACCUUCAGGGAGAUAGAUGCUGAUCUAGGCAUUGUGAGAAAAGCUGAAUUCAUUUUUAAUCAUGAAUGGCUUUUAAGGAAAGAAGAUUUAUUAACUAAAAUAAAUAGAUUAGAGGGAAUUCUCAUCUAUGAGAGAGGAAGGGAUGGGAUUCAACCUGGAAAAAAUGAUGAAGUUUUAGUGAACUGGGUAAGGUAGACUCAACAAUUAAUGAUGGAUAAUGCUAGGACCCAGCACCGGUAAUGAGCUUGUAUUAUGACUCAAUAGCAUCACUUUAUCACUUUAACGCAGAUGGAGGCCUAAAUAACCAUAGGGCAAUGGUUCUUCUUAGAUGCAGAAGGACACAUUUAUAUAAUCUUAGGGACCCCAUCUCUGAGGUCACUCAUAAUUUAUAUUAAUUCAUUAUUAUUGCCAUUGCCCCAAGAAUAGAUAAGGAUAAGACAUCCUGUAGCACAGGUAGCAGAGAUAUAAACUAUUCUUAUUCUUGUGUCUUGUCUAUAGGAAGGGAGUGUAUCCUGGUGUAUGACAGCAUAUAGUAGAGACCAGUGUCAAUUAGGGCCUGUGAACUGAGACAGGGUGACUGGCUAAGUCCACAACCCAUUAGAAACCCAGAAAUAAUCAAAUCAUGAGGGAUCAUGGAAAGGAAGCUGAAUUUGCUGAGUUUUGCCACGUGGGCAUUGCAUGCCUAUGUGAUUAACCACCAAUAAAAACCUGGGACAUCAAAAAAUAAAUAAGCUGCUUUAAUUGCCAAGAAUUCACAUGUGGUUGUAUGCAGCAUUACUGGGAGAUUGAAGUGUAUCUGCAUGUGAUUCUACUGUGAUGGACACUUGUAAAUUUGUGCCUGGAGUCUCCUGGAAUUUGCCCUGAGAAUCUUUUUCCUUUGUUGAUAAGAAUCUGCAUCCUUUUGUUUUAAUAAACGAUAAACAUGAGUAUAAUUGCUUCUCUGAGUUCUGAGAGUUUUUUAAAUAAAUAAUCAAAGCUGAAAAGCAAUGGAGACCCCCACCAAAACAUCUUUACACAUUUCAAUUUUGUAUUGAAGUAAAUUUUAUUUUCUUUUUUAUACCUCCCGUAUAUAUUCUAUUUUUCUCAUUAUUAUUUAUUUAUCCCAAAUCUUUUAUCUGUGAUCAUUUUCCUUUGUUUGAAAUUUGUCUUUUGAGAUUUCUUUAGAAGGUGCUUUUGGAUGAUAAAUUUUCUGUUAUUCUUUGUCUAAAAUGUCAUUAUUUUGACUCAUUUAUAAAAGGAGUUUUUGUGUUUUAUAAACCUCUAAUGUAUAGAAGUGUGUCUAAACUCAUUGAGGAUAUUUUCCAAAUUUUUUCCUGCUUUUUAUUGCUGUUGAUAAGAAAUCAGUGUUGGUAUUUUGACAUUUAAGUUAUGUGUCAUUUUGUUGUGGUAGUUCUGAAGAUCUUCCCUCUGUUUUAUAUUCUCCUUCACCUUUCAUAAAUGUACUUUAUAUUUAUUUGGUAAUAAAUUUUGAACAUAUACUAUGCUAUAAAGAUAAUCUAGGCCCUUUGGUUACAUCUCGUAAAUAAAAUCAACAAAAUCUGUUUUGAGAUUAUAUUGUAAUAUAAGAUACCCAAAGUAAAUAGGAUAUGUACCAUAUGUUUGAAGGUGGUAAAUACGAUGAGAAAAAUAGAUCAGGUCAGGAAGAAUGAAGAUGAUUGAAGGUACAGGUUAUGAUAAAAACUUAGGUGUGCCGAGGAAUGAAUUCAUCUUAUGUAUCUUGAGUGUAAUGUCUUAUUUCUCCUGAAUCUGAGAAUUUGAUGUCUUUCAUUAGGUAUGUCAGUGAAUUUCACUAAUG
RNAcentral lists this long non-coding RNA (4702 nucleotides) under Homo sapiens (human). Its description in RNAcentral is "HSALNT0077884". The record is from RNAcentral. Lineage: Eukaryota; Metazoa; Chordata; Mammalia; Primates; Hominidae.